RNAcentral lists this long non-coding RNA (511 nucleotides) under Rattus norvegicus (Norway rat). RNAcentral's name for it is "long non-coding RNA NONRATT014087". Lineage: Eukaryota; Metazoa; Chordata; Mammalia; Rodentia; Muridae. The record is from RNAcentral.
GAAAUGGGAAUUACCCCCAGGAAUGUCAUGCUGGGGUAAGGACAGGGUGCCAGGUGGAGCUUGUUUCCUGGAAAGAGAUUUCACACAGUUCUACAACCUGUUAGUCUCCUGACAGGUAUGAUAAGACUGAAGCCCAGACAACAAAUGGGUCUGGAGUGGGCAGAACCACACCUUGACUGGAACUGCUUAAAUGUGCAGAUCCUUGGCCCUCUGUUUAAACUUUGAUUUUACCUGAGGACCCUGAAGAUGAGUGUCUUGAAGAUGGACCUGGGGGUCUUGCUGAAUCUCUUCAUCCCAUUCACAGUGUGGACACACUGAGUCAUUUGAGAGAGGAAGACACACCCUUCUAUGAGAAAUCCCAUUCUGUGGGCUGCGGUCCCGUGAUGAAUAAAAAGAGAAAGUGAGCACUCAUCAGGGUGAACAGUUCCUCAAGAUCUUGCCGCCCCGACUCCCUGCUACCUUGGACCGCGUGUACCCUCAAACUGUGAGCCCAAUAAACUCUUCCUUCCUU